AAAAAAAAAGCCACCUGCACAGUGCUCGACAGUUCUGAACAAGGAAGAGCGCCUGGCCGGAGGACUAAAGGUCCCUAGGGUGUUGACAUCCUGGCGAGAAAAAACGGACGCAGCGGCCGCGGCAUCCCGAUGCCUGUUGUGGCAAACAUUUCACACGCCGAGGUCAGGAUGACAAGAUCUAAAAGCGGUGAUGGAAAGAAAAAAAAAAGGGAAGGGUGGGGAGCAAGGUACAUGAAGGGCGAAGGAAAGAAGGUUAAAUGAAAAGUGAGCUUCUUUCCUAAAUGAAGGAGGGAGGGAGAAAAAGAAAAGAUUGAAGUAGUGACGAGAAAAUUGGAUGGGAAACAACGGAAGAAGAAGCCAGUAGAAAAGAACCGUAACACAAUCACAUUACAGAUAAGUUUAACGGAAAGAUACUACAAAGGUGAAGAAA
Molecule: long non-coding RNA, 430 nt
Organism: Rhipicephalus sanguineus (brown dog tick)
Lineage: Eukaryota; Metazoa; Arthropoda; Arachnida; Ixodida; Ixodidae
Exons: 2
Source: RefSeq, a predicted model, not a curated record